Molecule: ribosomal RNA, 1221 nt
Filed under: Acanthaster planci (crown-of-thorns starfish)
Lineage: Eukaryota; Metazoa; Echinodermata; Asteroidea; Valvatida; Acanthasteridae
Description: eukaryotic LSU rRNA
Rfam family: Eukaryotic large subunit ribosomal RNA
Source: RNAcentral
CCGCAGGGUUCAGAAAUAUUGUCUGUCUUCCGUGGCGGUCCGAGCUGCGAAGCAAGCAAGCCCGCAGACGCCGGCUGGAGCCCCGGGAAGAGUUUUCUUUUCUUGGUAAGGGGCGGGAUCCCUGGAAUCGUCUUGUCCGGUGCUAGGGACUGCGGCCCCGUAGAGCGUCGCGUCUCCGGCGGUGUCCGGCGAGCUCUGGCCGGCCCUUGAAAAUGCGGGGGAGUGCGUGGACCGUCGCCUCGGGUCGUAUCCAAAACCGCAGCCGGUCUCCAAGGUGAACAGCCUCUGGUAGAUAGAACAAUGUAGGUAAGGGAAUUCGGCAAGCCGGGUCCAUAACUCAGAGAAGGAUUGGCUCUGAGGCCUGGGUCGGUCGGGCCGGGGCUGGAAGCGGGUCGCGGCGCCCCAUGCCCGCGCCAUGUCCGAGCGGCGGCACUCUCCCCCCCCCCGCCGGACCGCGGGGCCGUACGCGUGGGUAAACGGCGGGAGUAACUAUGACAUUCUUAAGGUAGCCAAAUGCCUCGUCAUCUAAUUAGUGACGCACUUGAAUGGAUUAACGAGAUUUCCACUGUCCCAAUCUACUCUCUAACGAAACCACAGCCAAGGGAAGGGCUUGGCAGAAUCAGCGGAGAAAGAAGACCCUGUUGAACUUGACUCUAGUCUGACCUUGUGAAGAGACACGGGGGUGUAGGAUAGGUGGGAGGGCCCCGGCCCGACAGUGAAAUACCACUACUCUCGACGUUUCUUUACUUAGCCGGUGGGGCUGGGAGCGGGCCCUGCGCGGGCCCAGUCUUCUGGCGCUACGCGGCCGGCCGCCUCACGGCGCCGCCGGUCGCCACCCGCUCUGGCGACAGCGUCAGGCGUGGAGUUUGACUGGGGAGGUACAUCUGUCAAAGGGUAACGCAGGUGUCUUAAGGCGAGCUCAGCGAGGACAGAAAACCCCUUGCACGGAGCAAAAGGGCAAAAGCCCGUUUGAUUUCGAUUUUCAGUAUGAAUACAGACCGUCAAAGCGUGGCCUAUUGAUCCUUUUGAGCUUCGGAGUUUGAAGCAAGAGGUGUCAGAAAAGUUACCACGGGGAUAACUGGCUUGUGGCAGCCAAGCGUUCAUAGCGAGGAGGGCCGGCCGCCCGGCGGCCUUCGGGCGGGCCAGACCAUGAGGACGAGGAGACCGGGGAGAACUGGCGGCGGAGGAGGAGCGGGCACAGCUGAUGGCGGAGUGAACCGG